AGCAGCCGCGGUAAUUCCAGCUCCAAUAGCGUAUAUUAAAGUUGUUGCAGUUAAAAAGCUCGUAAUUGAAUUUCGGGGUUCUACCGUUGGUCGGGCUUUGUCUGUACUGGCGUGUAGAAUUUCUACCUUCUGGGGAACUAUCAUGUUAUUAAUUUAGCGUGGUAGGAAACCAGGACCUUUACCUUGAAAAAAUUAGAGUGUUCAAAGCAGGCUUAUGUCUGAAUACAUUAGCAUGGAAUAAUAAAAUAGGACGGUGGUCCUGUUUUGUUGGUUUCUGAAUCACCGUAAUGAUUAAUAGGGAUAGUUGGGGGCAUUAGUAUUCAAUUGUCAGAGGUGAAAUUCUUGGAUUUAUUGAAGACUAACUACUGCGAAAGCAUUUGCCAAGGAUGUUUUUCAUUAAUCAAGACGAAAGUUAGGGGAUCGAAGACGAUCAGAUACCGUCGUAGUCUUAACCAUAAACUAUGCCGACUAGGGAUCGGAUGAUGUUAAUUUUUAAUGACUCAUUCGGCGCCUUACGGGA
Molecule: ribosomal RNA, 520 nt
Filed under: uncultured Scutellospora
Lineage: Eukaryota; Fungi; Glomeromycota; Glomeromycetes; Diversisporales; Gigasporaceae
Description: SSU rRNA
Rfam family: Eukaryotic small subunit ribosomal RNA
Source: RNAcentral